GUCUGUGGAUUGCAACCCCCCGCCCCGGAGCUGCUGCAACCCCGCGCCCCACGGCUAGGAGCGGCGGCGUCUCCGCAGCCAGCUGCGGGUGGGGGGGACCCGCGGCCGCUCCCCCCUCCUCGGAGCAUCCCCCGCGGCUCCGGCAGAGCCUCCGUCUCCCCCCCCCCGGCAGUGCAAGGGGCCCCCCCGGGGGCUGCCUCCCCUCCCCCUGCGGAGCCGCAGCCCGGGGGCAGGUGGCCCGGCGGCUCCCGGCGCAGGGGAAAGUUUCCCGGCGCGCGGCGGCGGCUCCCGGGAGCCCGAGCUCCCCCCCCCGCCCCGGGAAGGGCCCGCGCUGCAGCGCCCCCUGCAGCCGCCCGGCCCGAGCUGCCGCAGCCUGGCCGGGUCCGCCUGGGAAGGGGGGGGCGCCUCCUGAGCCGGGGGGGGCGCGCCCCCCGGCAGCAUUUCUCCGCUCCAGCCCGGCCAGAGAGGGAGCCCGCGGCUGGGAUGCAGCCUUGGACGGCUUUAAAGAGGCCACCAAACAGACUUUCAUGUAAAGUGAUAACGUGGAGACCACCUGGGGAGAGGAGAAGGAGGGCGGCCUAGAGAAACAUUACGCAGAACCAUCGAGAAAGACUCCACCUCCGUCAACAUGACACUCGGAAGCUGACACAGACCAUCACAAGGCUGAAAUAAAGGGCGGAAAUUGGUGGACACCUGAUGGUCCUGAGAGUGUAGGAGGAGAGCAAGAGACAGAAGAGCUCUGAUCACUGCCCCUGUCCCUUUCUAUUCUUAAUCAGCCGUGGAGCUGAUUGACGAAUAUAACCUUUUUCUGAGCAGCGAUGUGGCCAUACGCCCCAGCGAGCGUUCUGACCGGCGCCCACAGAGAAACGCCGCUGUGCAGUGUGCCGGGACUUCGCGUGUGACCGUUACCAAACGCUACAGGCCAGCGUGGCUGAAAAGGAAGGUUCAGAAGACACGAAACAAGCAAACAAGGUGCCUUUAGCACUGGACAUGUGCCCUCAAAAGCCCACAUCAACCGUGGCAUGGAUGCAAACGGCUUUCUAAGUCCCUAAAGGGAGAUUAAAUUGCGCUGUGAAAUGCCCGGGUGAUUUAUCGCUCGUCACGGCGUGCUUGGCUCUCGUGGCAAUUUCCAGUUGUUUCCAUGGCAGAAGCCAUCGCUGGAGAAGGAGAGAGCCAAUCAGCAGCCACAAACAGCUGUCAAAUGGCCAGAAGGGCUAGCCGGGUGGCUGGCUCUCCUCGUUCAGGGAACGUAGGGCUCCAACAUUUGACUAGCUGCUCAGAUCAAAAAGGGGGGGGCACUCUUUUGCAGCAUCAAAGGUAUCCGAAAGAAUGAGGAAGAAUUUCCUGGCUUUGGCUCUCACAGUACCCAGCCCUUCCCCACUGGCACUCAGCAGCGCCAGUACUGCCACAGCUUCCCAAGGACCAGGCCCUGCUCAGGGGAGCAGCCCGCCCCUCUAGGCCCCAUGGAGGGUGUCACAUGGGGAGCCACUGGGCUUUCCCUAGAAGCAGCGUCUGGCUCGGCAGCUCAUUUCCUAGACACGGUCCUGCAGAAACAGCCCUGGGGAGCCACCCGCUACAUUUCACCAACCCAUCAUAGACCCACCUGCCCAAGCUCCUCUUGCAUUGAUGCUGCUGGCAGCUCCAUUGAGACAGCUACAGCUCCCUGAAACUUUCCUUUGCUGACCCACCCAUGGCCUCUCUGGCACGGCACCUCAGUGCUGCACUGGGCCCCUGCAUCCUUCUCUCCAGCCACCCAAGCAAUCCCUGACCUCAGUUCAAAUGCUGGCCCAAGGUUUCUCUGGCCCUGAAUCCCUACAGUCCCCUUCCUAUCCCUGAGUCUCUCCAGGCUCCACACAGAUUCCUCCCUGACCCCACCUUUGCCUCUGUCCUGCCCCGCUGUAGGAGCCGUACCUGAGUUAUGUAAUUGACCCGCUGACACCCCUGACUCCUAGUGAAUGGCUCAAAGUGGUGGAUAUUUAUCCCAGCACAUACACCAGUAAUUGCAGGCAGUGUGUACAAAACACUCGGCUCUGAGCCCAGAGAUGCUACUUUGGCAAGAAAGAAAACAAUGAUAAUCAUAAUUCUACAGCUGGGUUUCUUGAAACCACAUUUUAAAGGACUGGAAAUGUACCCUGCAGCAGAGCCUGUGUGACAUGCACCAGGUAUCUGCUCCCCCACCCAACCCUUAAGAUGGCUGCAAGAGAGAAUCUGGGGACAAGGCCUGCCUGCUGGUUCCCAUGCAGCAUCACCGACUGUCCCUGGUGGGUGCAAGGCCUGCCUGCUUGGGAGACCCUGAGAGCAGCUGGUGCAUGGACUUGCAGCGUUCCUGGGAGAUGACUAAGCAGGCGAGUGGGUAAGAGACUCAGGGUAUAUACCAGACUAGGUGCUGUGUGCUGAGAAAAUGCACCAUGCAUCAUACAUCCCCUAGACACUCCAGGGACGUGCACUUUAGAGGUGCGUUGUGUUAUCGCUGAUGUCAGCUGAGACCUGAUGAAGAGCUCCAGGUGGCUCGAAAGCUUGUGUCCAGUAAAAGCUUUCAUCUCCCCCACCGUGUCUCGCCAACUGAACAGAAUAGGUGGGAGUGGAUAAAUGCAACACUCCCAAGGCAGCAUCUGGGAUUCGGCUAAGGAGGAAAUAUCAGGGGGCUAGUGAUCUGUCCCCCUUCCCAGACCUGGCUCUGUGCCACAGCGGAGAAUAAUGAGCUCCACCACCUGGACUUGCAUCUCCCACUCAGAAACCUGACAUCAGUGGCAGCUUGGACACUCCAGCACCUCUCAGGAUCAGGCCUCAUGCCAUGGGGAGAGCGCUCACAUGGCCAGGGGAUUCUGAAGCACUGUAAGUGGACAGCAGAUGUUUGGUGAGGGGCUGAAACUCCAGGUGGCCUUUGCUACCAGUGAGCAGGGCCAUUGCUUCUGUCAAUUAGUCUGCCUUUCCAGUUGGAUUCAGCAAGGAGCAGGCAAUCCCUCUCCCACCUCCCCCUGCCCGCUCUGAGUUUAGCAGGCAGCUCUCAUGCUUGUCCGUCCUCAGGAGGGGGAACGCGAGACGGUAUGGGUUGCCAAUGAGUGCCAGAGCCGCUUCACAGAGGCAUCAGUCACUGGCACCCGCUUUCUGCACAGGGGCCAAGUGUGUGCUCAGACGAGUAAACAAGCUGGACGUGGCCAUCGCC
Molecule: long non-coding RNA, 3166 nt
Organism: Dermochelys coriacea (leatherback sea turtle)
Lineage: Eukaryota; Metazoa; Chordata; Testudines; Dermochelyidae
Exons: 5
Source: RefSeq, a predicted model, not a curated record